Etheostoma cragini (Arkansas darter) is the source of this 71-nucleotide long non-coding RNA. RefSeq lists it as uncharacterized. Lineage: Eukaryota; Metazoa; Chordata; Actinopteri; Perciformes; Percidae. The record is from RefSeq and is a predicted model, not a curated record. The transcript is spliced from 3 exons.
AGCUCCAAUUAGUGUAGCCUAAUUUGUAUCUGCAACUGUGCAGAAAUACAGGAUUUUAACAGAAUUAAUAG